GUCUUCAGUAGCGAUUGAGAGGCGCGUCGGCCUCCGAAGCCGAAGGUUGCAGGUUCGAAUCCUGCCGGGGACGC
Molecule: transfer RNA, 74 nt
Filed under: Aeoliella mucimassa
Lineage: Bacteria; Pseudomonadati; Planctomycetota; Planctomycetia; Pirellulales; Lacipirellulaceae
Description: Planctomycetes bacterium Pan181 tRNA-Arg
Rfam family: tRNA (bases 8-66)
About the family: Transfer RNA (tRNA) molecules are approximately 80 nucleotides in length. Their secondary structure includes four short double-helical elements and three loops (D, anti-codon, and T loops). Further hydrogen bonds mediate the characteristic L-shaped molecular structure. tRNAs have two regions of fundamental functional importance: the anti-codon, which is responsible for specific mRNA codon recognition, and the 3' end, to which the tRNAs corresponding amino acid is attached (by aminoacyl-tRNA synthetases). tRNAs cope with the degeneracy of the genetic code in two manners: having more than one tRNA (with a specific anti-codon) for a particular amino acid; and 'wobble' base-pairing, i.e. permitting non-standard base-pairing at the 3rd anti-codon position.
Source: RNAcentral